CUGGUCCAACAAUUAUUGCCAUGGCAACAAAGGCUCUGUGACAUCUCUAGUAAGCUCAUUGUCUUCUGCCGUAUUAAACUUUAAUGGGUAGCUGGUAGACAAUUAACACUCUGGGAGGGCUCAAACCACAUAACCAAAUGUGCCAAGAUAAUCCUGAGCUCACUCAUUGUCAGUCCUGAAGAUUUUCCUCAGAGAAUCUUUCAUCUCUUUGCUCCUGAGACUAUAUAUUAGAGGAUUACAGAGUGGUGUUAUCACAGAAUAGAACAAGUGGAUUUUUAUCUGAGAUCUACAACUUAAGAAGAAUAUAAGUGAUGUAUAUUCUCUUCUACUCUUCAUGUAUGGAAUAGAGGGGCUUGCACAGUAGUAAGAAAAAAAUGGCUUAGACCCACAGGAACAAAGAAACAAGACAGGAGUUAGAUGCAGAGGAGAGAUUUCAACAAAAGUUUGGAAAAGAUGCUAACGGUAGCAUAUGAGUCACAGACAGAAUAUUGGCACCUUUGUUUAAGAAACUGAAUGUUAAUGUCACAUCUGCCUUCGGAGAUUACAAAUGAAAUGGUUACCUCUCUACUGGAACCCUGACCAGAAGCCUGCCAAUUAGUAAGCUGGCUUAAGAGAUCAAUCUAAAAUUUACAUAAGGCUUUUGAAAAAAAGAGAAAAGUCAGCCUUUAAAAAAGCCAAAAGGAAACUGGUGGAAUUAGAGGUAAUUCAG
RNAcentral lists this long non-coding RNA (709 nucleotides) under Homo sapiens (human). RNAcentral describes it as "HSALNT0375522". The record is from RNAcentral. Lineage: Eukaryota; Metazoa; Chordata; Mammalia; Primates; Hominidae.